RNAcentral lists this long non-coding RNA (32000 nucleotides) under Triticum aestivum (bread wheat). RNAcentral describes it as "long non-coding RNA (TAES_LNC023023)". Lineage: Eukaryota; Viridiplantae; Streptophyta; Magnoliopsida; Poales; Poaceae. The record is from RNAcentral.
UGAGAACUGAAACUGACAUGGAGUCUGCUCGCCCUUUUAGAGGCCACUAUAUAUACAGUAUAUUGUUAAAUGACUGUCAUCUGGCAGGUACCGUAUGAAACAUUGGUCUGAUCCAGAUUUUAGUUUAUGACCAUUACUACCUGUGAUAGAAUGUUGCCCGUGGGCAUGUGAUAUAUAUGUGUGGAGACCAUUACUACCUAUGAUAGAAUGUUGCCUGCGGGCAUAUAAUAUAUGUGUGGAUAUAUUUACAUUUGUGAGCGGUAUGUCCUAUCGACGUUAUGCAUUGCCUGUGUUCUCGUUCAUGGAAGGUCUUCUCUGGUCUAAAGGAUAGGAAUAGGAAAGUCAUAUGAAAUGAGGUGGCAUACAUGUCAGGUCCUAUAUGAAAAGAGAUGCCAUUUGAUUCGUAGAAUGAGAUUUUUCCAUUAGGUUUGUGCUAGUGUUCUUUUUCUUUGAAAUGUGUAGGAUAUAUAGAGACCAGUCCUACAUAGGAAAUCCGGUCCUACAAACUCUAUCAAAAAAAUUCCUAUAGCAAUCCUAUCCUACAAAAUUCCUACAAAUCAAAGGAGGCCUAAGUAUACGGUACAAUUGUAUGAAGUGGUUUAGGAACGUCUGAAUCUCCUCUGAUGUAGUGUACAUGAGCAUUUACGUGAAAUUCUUGCAAAUUUUAUAUGAAAUUGUGUUUGCUAUUUACAAGUUUUUUGGGAAGACAAGAUGAUGAUGCGGAGAUGGGUGAUGCAGCCAGGCAGGGUCAUGGGGGGUUGUCUAUGACAGAGAGGAUGAUUAACGCCCUGUUCGGAUUACCUCCGCUCCACAGCUUCACUCCGGGAGCGGGUGGAGUUAUAGUGAAAAAACGUGGAGCGUCGGUUUCCUGGCUCCACAACUCCUUCUAUUUCGCGGAGCAGGUGGGAUUCCGAACCGGGCCUAACUUAGAGGGAUGGCCAGGAGCUGCGGCAGAGCAGUAGAGGUGGCGGCUUGGAGAGGGUGUGGGGCAGCAAGGAGACCGGCAAUUCGGUUGGCGUUGAAGGCAGCAGGAGGAAGAAGCUAGGAAUAAGAAAAUGAACCGGCCCUUAGAUUUUUUUCCAUGUGAAGCGCGACAACUUUUUAAUUUAUAAAAAGAGCUCCCUCUCUGAUUUCUAUUAAUAGAAAUCACAUUGUAUUACAAACUACGAGGAACUAAAGCGAAACUACCACACAUAACAACAAAAGGCAUGAUGCACAAAUCCAACCUGGUACAGAAAAUGGGUUAUCCCAUCUGCCCAUCAAGAUUACAGGAACUUGUUGGGAAAAGUAGUAAUUUCAAAAAAAAAUCCUAUGCACACGCAAGAUCAUCAUGGUGAUGCAUAGCAACGAGAGGAAAGAGUAUCGUCCACGUACCCUCAUAGAUCGUAAGAGGAAGCGUUAUGAGAACACGGUUGAUGUAGUCGAACGUCUUCACGAUCCGACCGAUCCAAGUACCGAACGCACGGCACCUCCGAGUUCAGCACACGUUCAGCUCGAUGACGUCCCACGAACUCCGAUCCAGCAGAGCUUCACGGGAGAGUUCCGUCAGCACGACGACGUGAUGACGGUGAUGAUGUUGCUACCGACGCAGAGCUUCGCCUAAACACCGCUACAAUAUGAUUGAGGUGGAUUAUGAUGGAGGGGGACACCGCACACGGCUAAGGGAUCAAUGAUCAACUUGUGUGUUCUAGGGUGCCCCCCUGCCCCCGUAUAUAAAGGAGCAAGGGGGAGGCCGACCGGCCCCUGUAGGGCGCGCCAGGAGGAGGAGUCCUCCUCCUAGUAGGAGUAGGACACCCCUUUCCUACUCCUACUAGGAGGAAAGGAAGGGGGAAGGGGAGAAGGAAGGAGAGGGAGGAAAGGAGGAAAGGGGGGUCGGCCCCCUAGUCCAAUUCGGUUUGGGCUAGGGGGGCCGCGCGCCCUGCCUCCUCUCUUACACCACUUGGCCCAUGAGGCCCAAUACUUCUUCCCCGUAUUUUCGUAACUCCCUGGUACUCCGAAAAAUAUCCGAAUCACUCGGAACCUUUCCGAUAUCCGAAUAUAGUCGUCCAAUAUAUCAAUCUUUACGUCUCGACCAUUUCGAGACUCCUCGUCAUGUCCCCUAUCUCAUCCGGGACUCCGAACUACCUUCAGUACAUCAAAUCACUUAAACUCAUAAUACCGAUCGUCACCGAACGUUAAGCGUGCGGACCCUACGGGUUCGAGAACUAUGUAGACAUGACCGAGACACGUCUCUGUUCAAUAACCAAUAGCGGAACCUGGAUGUUCAUAUUAGCUCUUACAUAUUCUACGAAGAUAUUUAUCGGUCAAACCGCAUAACAACAUACGUUGUUCCCUUUGUCAUCGAUAUGUUACUUUCCCGAGAUUCGAUUGCCGGUAUCUCAAUACCUAGUUCAAUAUCGUUACCGGCAAGUCUCUCUACUCGUUUCUGUAAUGCAUCAUCCCGCAACUAACUCAUUAGUUGCAUUGCUUGCAAGGCUUAUAGUGAUGUGCAUUGCCGAGAGGGCCCAGAGAUACCUCUCCGACAAUCGGAGUGACAAAUCCUAAUCUCGAUCUAUGCCAACUCAACAAGCACCAUCGGAGACACCUGUAGAGCACCUUUAUAAUCACCCAGUUACGUUGUGACGUUUGGUAGCACACAAAGUGUUCCUCCGGCACUCGGGAGUUGCAUAAUCUCAUAGUCAUAGGAACAUGUAUAAGUCAUGAAGAAAGCAAUAGCAACAAACUAAACGAUCAUCGUGCUAAGCUAACGGAUGGGUCAAGUCAAUGACAUCAUUCUCUAAUGAUAUGGUCCCGUUAAUCAAAUGACAACUCAUGUCUAUGGUUAGAAAACAUAACCAUCAUUGAUUCAACGAGCUAGUCAAGUAGAGGCAUACUAGUGACAUUCUGUUUGUCUAUGUAUUCACACAUGUACUAAGUUUCCGAUUAAUACAAUUCUAGCAUGAACAAUAAAUAUUUAUCAUGAAAUAAGGAAAAAAAUAAUAACUUUAUUAUUGUCUCUAGGGCAUAUUUCCUUCAGUCUCUCACUUGCACUAGAGUCAAUAAUCUAGUCCACAUCUUUAUGUGAUUAGUUCACAUCUCCAUGUGAUUAAUACCCAAAGGGUUUCCUAGAGUCAAUAAUCUAGUUCACAUCGCUAUGUGAUUAACACCCAAAGAGUGAUCAUAUUUUGCUUGUGAGAGAAGUUUAGUCUAUGGGUCUGCAACAUUCAGAUCCGUAUGUAUUUCACAAAUUUUUAUGUCUUCUCAAUGCUCUGCACGGAGCUAUUCUAGCUAAUUGCUCACACUUUCAAUAUGUAUCCAGAUCGACGUAAAAAGCUUGCAUCGACGUAACUCUUUACGACGAACUAUUUUAUCACCUCCAUAACCGAGAAAUAUUUCUUUAGUCCUCUAAGGAUAAUUUUGACCGUUGUCCAGUGAUCUACUCCUAGAUCGCUAUUGUACUCUCUUGCCAGAAAGAUGCUAAGGUAUACAAUAGGACUGGUAAACAACAUAGCAUACUUUAUAGAACCUAUGACUGAGGCAUAGGGAAUGACUUUUCAUUCUCUUUCUAUUUUCUGUUGUGGUCGUGUUUUGAGUCUUUACUCAACUUCAACUUUGCAACACAGGCAAGAACUCCUUCUUUGACUGUUCCAUUUUGAACUACUUCAAAAUCUUGUCAAGGUAUAUACUCAUUGAAAAAAACUUAUCAAGCGUCUUGAUCUAUCUCUAUAGAUCUUGGUGCUCAAUGUGUAAGCAGCUUCAUCGAGGUCUUUCUUUGAAAAACUCUUUUCAAACGCUCCUUUAUGCUUUCCAAAAAAUUCUACAUUAUUUUUGAUUAACAAUAUGUUAUUCACAUAUACUUAUCAGAAAUGUUGUAGUGCUCCCACUCACUUUCUUGUAAAUAUAGGCUUCACCGCAAGUCUCUAUAAAACCAUAUGCUCUGAUCAUUUUAUCAAAGCAUAUAUUCCAACUCCGAGAUGCUUGCACCAGUCCAUAGAUGGAUCGCUGGAGCUUGCUCAUUUUGGUAGUACCUUUAGGAUUGACAAAACCUUCUGGUUGCAUCAUAUACAACUCUUCUUUUAAGAAAUUCAUUAAGGAAUACAGUAUUGACAUCCAUUUGCCAGAUUUCAUAAAAUGCGGCAACUGCUAACAUGAUUUGGACAGACUUUUAAGCAUCGAUACGAGUGAGAAAAUCUCAUCGUCAGGGGCGGAGCCAGGAUUUGAGCAUAGGGGGGCGAAGAACAUAAUGAUGUAGUUCAUCAUAUAUGAUUUUUAUCAAGAUAUAUAAUUAAGUCUUACAUAUAGCAGCAAUACAAAACUACUUUUCUAAAUUUAUGUGUAGAAUUAUGAAUUGCUAGCAGACCAAUCAAACUACUUAAUUAUCUAGUCUUCAUCUUUAUUAUUCAAAGAUGAUAAAAUUGAUAUAUGGUUUCAUUUUCAGUAAACCAACUUGGUUUUAUUGUUUUACUAAGCAACAUACAAUAAGUUGAAAGAUAAAACAAAUAUGAUGAAGCGGUCCUGAUGACAAAUAAAUAAAUUAUACUCCCUCUGUAAACUAAUAUAAGAGUGUUUAGAUAAUUAAAAUAGUGAUCUAAAUGCUCUUAUAUUAGUUUACAAAGGGAGUAUUUCCCAUUGAUCGGUUAAUUUAUUUUUCUCUAGUCAACAAUUUGCAAGCAUUUUAAUAAAAUCUGUAGCUACUAGUCUAGUUGUCGGUAGUGAUACCUUGAGAUCUGGGAUUGGGCCCGGACAUUAUGCUGAGAUGUUCACAUGUCAACUGAACUAAGCUUGUGGACAUUACGUGCAGUAGGUUGCUCUGUGAGAUCUAUCUCCCCGGUUGGAUUUGCAUCUUCAACUGUGGAGUUAUAGUUUGUAGCGAUUGGCUUGAACAAAUUACUUGUCCAUGGUUUCUUCGUCUUCAUGACCUAUGCAAUUCCCAUAUUAGAACAAAGCAAAUAUGUAAUCUAACCCGCAAAAAAGGCAAUAUGUAACAUGUAGUUGAUCUGGCAGGUUACAAAAUGUACUACUACUAAGUACAAAACAGUUGAUUAAUUGGUGUCAAGGUGUGUAGUCAAUCUGACAAUACCUCCGCAGCUGGUAGUCUGUUUUGCAGCCGGCCGACAGAUCAUAGUCCGUAGACUUGUAGUAGAAUCUUACUCAGAUUUGAUGCCCGGCAAACGGCAGCUUCGCUAAUUACCAAUCGGCGACGCCGCAACGCCUGGCGGCCCGAUGACAAUGAAGCCCUAGCACGAUGCGUGCAACGUCGGCGCGGACGAUAGAGUCUAGGAAGGAAGUCGCCUCAGCGCGUGAGUGCGUACGUGUGCGUCGAUCGAUUAAAGAGUACGUGAUGUCCAUACGACGGUGGAUGCGUACGUGCAGCCUUGGCCCAUGUUGCUUUCUUGCAAAAUCGUUUCGGGCUUGACAGUAGGAGCUUAGCCCAUAUCCUUGCUAAUCGCCAGAUAAUUAUUAAGUCUAAUACUAGUACCAGUGAAUAGGCUAGUCCCCGCUGUUGGGGAACGUAGUAAUUUCAAAAAUAUUCCUACGCACACGCAAGAUCAUGUGAUGCAUAACAACGAGAGGGGGGAGUGUGAUCUACAUACCUAGUAGAUCGACAAUGGAAGCGUUUGGUUAAUGUAGUCGCACGUCUUCGCGGCCCGACCGAUCAAGCACCGAAGCUACGACACCUCCAAGUUUUAGCACACGUUCAGCUCGAUGACAAUCCCCGAACUCCGAUCCAGCAAAGUGUCGGGGAAGAGUUCCGUCAGCACGACGGCGUGGUGACGAUCUUGAUGUACUACUGCAGCAGGGCUUCGCCUAAACUCCGCUACAAUAUUAUCGAGGACUAUGGUGGCUGGGGGCGCCGCACAUGGCUAAGGAAAAGAUCACGUGGAUCAACUUGUGUGUUCUAGGGUGCCUCUGCUUCAGUAUAUAAAGGACCAAAAGGGGGGAGGCUGGCCGGCCAAGGAGGGCGCGCCAGGAGAGUCCUACUCCCUCUGGGAGUAGGAUUCCCCCCCCCCCCCCAAUCCUAGUUGGAAUAGGAUUCGCGGAGGGGGGAAAAGAGAGAGAGGGGCCGGCCCCCUCUCCUUGUCCUAUUCGGACCAAGGGAGGGGAGGGGCGCGCGGCCCAUGAGGGGCUGCCUCUUCUCUUUUCCACUAAGACCCAUCAUGGCCCAUAUAGCUCCCGGGGGGUUCCGAUAACCUCCCGGUACUCCGGUAAAAUCCCGAUUUCACCCGGAACACUUCUGAUAUCCAAACAUAGGCUUUCAAUAUAUCAAUCUUUAUGUCUCGACCAUUUCGAGACUCCUCGUCAUGUCCGUGAUCACAUCUGAAACUCUGAACAACCUUCGGUACAUCAAAAUGCAUAAACUCAUAAUAUAACUGUCAUCGUAACCUUAAGCGUGCGGACCCUACGGGUUCGAGAACAAUGUAGACAUGACCAAGACACGUCUCCGGUCAAUAACCAAUAGCGGGACCUGGAUGCCCAUACUGGCUCCUACAUAUUCUACGAAGAUCUUUAUCGGUCAGACCGCAUAACAACAUACGUCGUUCCCUUUGUCAUCGGUAUGUUACUUGCCCGAGAUUCGAUCGUCGGUAUUCCAAUACCUAGUUCAAUCUCGUUGCCGGCAAGUCUCUUUACUCGUUCUGUAAUACAUCAUCCCGCAACUAACUCAUUAGUUGCAACGCUUGCAAGGCUUAAGUGAUGUGCAUUACCGAGAGGGCCCAGAGAUACCUCUCCGAUAAUCGGAGUGACAAAACCUAAUCUCGAAAUACGCCAACCCAACAUGUACCUUUGGAGACACCUGUAGUACUCCUUUAUAAUCACCCAGUUACGUUGUGACGUUUGGUAGUACCCAAAGUGUUCCUCCGAUAAACGGGAGUUGCAUAAUCUCAUAGUUAUAGGAACAUGUAUAAGUCAUGAAGAAAGCAAUAGCAACAUACUAAAGAUCGGGUGCUAAGCUAAUGGAAUGGGUCAUGUCAAUCAGAUCAUUCUCUUAAUGAUGUGAUCCCGUUAAUCAAAUAACAACUCAUUGUUCAUGGUCAGGAAACAUAACCAUCUUUGAUUAACGAGCUAGUCAAGUAGAGGCAUACUAGUGACACUUUGUUUGUCUAUGUAUUCACACAUGUAUUAUGUUUCCGGUUAAUACAAUUCUAGCAUGAAUAAUAAACAUUUAUCAUGAUUAUAAGGAAAUAAAUAAUAACUUUUUUAUUGCCUCUAGGGCAUAUUUCCUUCAGUCUCCCACUUGCACUAGAGUCAAUAAUCUAGUUCACAUCGCCAUGUGAUUUAACAGCAAUAGUUCACAUCACCAUGUAAUUAACACCCAUAGUCCACAUCGAUAUGUGACCAACACCCAAAGGGUUUACUAGAGUCAGUAAUCUAGUUCACAUCGCUAUGUGAUUAACACCCAAAGAGUACUAAGGUGUGAUCAUGUUUUGCUUGUGAGAUAAUUUUAGUCACCGGGUCUGUUAUAUUCCGAUCCGUAAGUAUUUUGCAAAUAUUUAUGUCAACAAUGCUCUACGCGGAGCUACUCUAGCUAAUUGCUCCCACUUUCAAUAUGUAUCUAGAUUGAGACUUAGAUUCAUCUAGCUUAGUGUCAAAACUUGCAUCGACGUAACCCUUAACGACGAACCCUUUUUGUCACGUCCAUAAUCGAGAAACAUAUCCUUAUUUCACUAAGGAUAAUUCUGACCGCUGUCCAGUGAUCUACUCCUAGAUCACUAUUGUACUCCCUUGCCAAAUCAGUGCAGGGUAUACAAUAGAUCUGGUACACAGCAUGAUAUACUUUAUAGAACCUAUGGCCAAGGCAUAGGGAAUGACUUUCAUUCUCUUUCUAUCUUCUGCUGUGGUCGGGCUUUGAGUCUUACUCAACUUCACACCUUGUAAUACAGGCAAGAACUCUUUCUUUGACUGCUCCAUUUUGAAUUACUUCAAAAUCUUGUCAAGGUAUGUACUCAUUUGAAAAACUUAUCAAGCGUCUUGAUCUAUCUCUAUAGAUCUUGAAGCUCAAUAUGUAAGCAGCUUCACCGAAGUCUUUCUUUGAAAAACUCCUUUCAAACACUCCUUUAUGCUUUAUAGAAUAAUUCUACAUUAUUUCCGAUCAACAAUAUGUCAUUCACAUAUACUUAUCAGAAAUGCCGUAGUGCUCCCACUCACUUUCUUGCAAAUACAGGCUUCACCACAAGUCUGUAUAAAACUAUAUGCUUUGAUCAACUCAUCAAAGCGUAUAUUCCAACUCCGAGAUGCUUGCACCAGCUCACAGAUGGAUCGCUGGAGCUUGCACAUUUUGUUAGUACCUUUCGGAUUUGACAAAACCUUCUAGUUGCAUCGUAUACAACUCUUCUUCAAUAAAUCCAUUAAGGAAUUCAGUUUUGUUUAUCCAUUUGCCAGAUUUCAUAAAAUGCGGCAAUUGCUAACAUGAUUCGGACAGACUUAAGCAUAGAUACGAGUGAGAAUCUCUCAUCGUAGUCAACACCUUGAACUUGUCGAAAAACCUUUUGCGACAAUUCUAGCUUUGUAGAUAAUAACACUACUAUCAGUGUCCGUCUUCCUCUUGAAGAUCCAUUUAUUUUUAUGGCUUGCCGAUCAUCGGGCAAAUCCAUCAAAGUCCAUACUUUGUUCUCAUACAUGGAUCAUAUCUCAGAUUUCAUGGCCUCAAACCAUUUCGCGGAAUCUGGGCUCAUCAUCGCUUCCUCAUAGUUCGCAAGUUCAUCAUGGUCUAGUAACAUGACUUCCAGAACAGGAUUACCGUACCACUCUGGUGCGGAUCUUACUCUGGUUUACCUACGAGAUUCGGUAGUAACUUGAUUUGAAGUUACAUGAUCAUCAUCAUUAUCUUCCUCACUAAUUGGUGUAGUAGUCACAAGAACAGAUUUCUAUGAUGAACUACUUUCCAAUAAGGGAGAAGGUACAAUUACCUUAUCAAGUUUUCUACUUUCCUCCCACUCACUUCUUUCGAGAGAAACUCCUUCUCUAGAAAGUUUCCGAAUUUAGCAACAAAAGUCUUGCCUUCGGAUCUGUGAUAGAAGGUGUAUCCAAUAGUUUCCUUUGGAUAUCCUAUGAAGACACAUUUCUCCGAUUUGGGUUUGAGCUUAUCGGGUUGAAACUUUUUCACAUAAGCAUUGCAACCUCAAACUUUAAGAAACAACAGCUUAGGUUUCUUGCCAAACCAUAGUUCAUACGGUGUCGUCUCAACGGAUUUAGAUGGUGCCCUAUUUAACGUGAAUGCAGCUGUCUCUAAUGCAUAACCCCAAAACGAUAGUGGUAGAUCGGUAAGAGACAUCAUAGAUCGCACCAUAUCUAAUAAAGUACGGUUAUGACGUUCGGACACACCAUUACGUUGUGGUGUUCCAGGUGGCGUGAGUAGUGAAACUAUUUCACAUUGUUUUUAACUGAAAGCCAAACUCGUAACUCAAAUACUCUUCUCUACGAUCAGAUCGUAGAAACUUUAUUUUCUUGUUACGAUGAUUUUUCACUUCACUUUGAAAUUCUUUAAACUUUUCAAAUGUUUCAGACUUAUGUUUCAUCAAGUAGAUAUACUCAUAUCUGCUCAAAUCAUCUAUGAAGAUCAGAAAAUAAUGAUAUCUGUCGCGAGCCUCAAUAUUCAUCAAACCACAUACAUCAGUAUGUAUGAUUUUCAACAAAUCUGUUCCUCGCUCCAUUGUUUCGAAGAACGGAGUCUUAGUCAUCUUGCCCAUGAGGCAUGGUUCGUAAGCAUCAACUGAUUCAUAAUCAAGUGAUUCCAAAAGCCCAUCAGCAUGGAGUUUCUUCAUGCGCUUUACACCAAUAUGACCUAAACGGCAGCGCCAUAAAUAAGUUGCACUAUCAUUAUUAACUUUGCAUCUUUUGGUUUCAAUAUUAUGAUUAUGUGUAUCACUACGAUCGAGAUCCAACGAACUAUUUUCAUUGGGUGUGUAACCAUAUAAGGUUUUAUUCAUGUAAACAGAACAACAAUUUAUUCUCUUACUUAAAUGAAUAACCGUGUUACAAUAAACAUGAUCAAAUCAUAUUCAUGCUGAACGCAAACACCAAAUAACACUUAUUUAGGUUCAACACUAAUCCCGAAAUUAUAGGGAGUGUGCGAUGAUGAUCAUAUCAAUCUUGGAACCACUUCCAACACACAUCGUCACUUCACCCUUAACUAGUCUCUGUUUAUUCUGCAACUCCCGUUUCGAGUUACUAAUCUUAGCAACUGAACUAGUAUCAAAUACUGAGGGGUUGCUAUAAACACUAGUAAAGUACACAUCAAUAAGAUGUAUAUCAAAUAUACUUAUGUUCACUUUGCCAUCCUUCUUAUCCGCCAAUCACUUGGGGUAGUUCCGCUUCUAGUGACCAGUCCCUUUGCAGUAGAAGCACUUAGUCUUAGGCUUAGGACUAGACUUGGGCUUCUUCACUUGAGCAGCAACUUGCUUGCCGUUCUUCUUGAAGUUCCCCUUCUUCCCUUUGCCCUUUUCUUGAAACUAGUGGUCUUGUUAACCAUCAACACUUGAUGUUUUUCUUGAUUUCUACCUUCAUCGAUUUCAGCAUCACGAAGAGCUUGGAAAUUAUUUUUGUCAUCCCUUGCAUAUUAUAGUUCAUCACGAAGUUCUACUAACUUGGUGAUGGUGACUAGAGAAUUCUGUCAAUCACUAUCUUAUCUGGAAGAUUAACUCCCACUUGAUUCAAGCGAUUGUAGUACUCAGACAAUCUGGGCACAUGCUCACUAGUUGAGCGAUUCUCCUCCAUCUUUUAGCUAUAGAACUUGUUGGAGACUUCAUAUCUCUCAACUCAGGUAUUUGCUUGAAAUAUUAACUUCAACUCCUGGAACAUCUCAUAUGCUCCAUGACGUUCAAAACAUCUUUGAAGUCCCGAUUCUAAGCCAUUAAGCAUGGUGCACUAAACUAUCAAGUAGUCAUCAUAUUGAGCUAGCCAAACGUUCAUAACGUCUGCAUCUGCUCCUGCAAUAGGUCUGUCACCUAGCGGUGCAUCAAGGACAUAAUUCUUCUGUGCAGCAAUGAGGAUAAACCUCAGAUUACGGAUCCAAUCCGCAUCAUUGCUACUAACAUCUUUCAACACAAUUUUCUCUAGGAACAUAUCAAAAUAAACACAGGGAAGCAACAACGUGAGCUAUUGAUCUACAACAUAAUUUGCAAAAUACUACCAGUACUAAGUUCAUGAUAAAUUUAAGUUCAAUUUAAUCAUAUUACUUAAGAACUCCCACUUAGAUAGACAUCCCUCUAAUCCUCUAAGUGAUCACGUGAUCCAAAUCAACUAAACCAUGUCCGAUCAUCACGUGAGAUGGAGUAGUUUCAUUGGUGAACAUCACUAUGUUGAUCAUAUCUACUAUAUGAUUCACGCUCGACCUUUCGGUCUCCGUGUUCCGAGGCCAUAUCUGUAUAUGCUUGGCUCGUCAAGUAUAACCUGAGUAUUCCGCGUGUGCAACUGUUUUGCACCCGUUGUAUUUGAACGUAGAACCUAUCACACCCAAUCAUCACGUGGUGUCUCAGCACGAAGAACUUUCGCAACGGUGCAUACUCAGGGAGAACACUUCUUGAUAAUUUAGUGAGAGAUCAUCUUAUAAUGCUACCGUCAAUCAAAGCAAGAUAAGAUGCAUAAAAGAUAAACAACACAUGCAAUCAAUAUAAGUGAUAUGAUAUGGCCAUCAUCAUCUUGUGCUUGUGAUCUCCAUCUCCGAAGCACCGUCGUGAUCACCAUCGUCAUCGGCGUGACACCUUGAUCUCCAUCGUAGCAUCGUUGUCGUCUCGCCAAGCUUGUGCUUCCACGACUAUCGCUACCGUUUAGUGAUAAAGUAAAGCAUUACAUCGCGAUUGCAUUGCAUACAAUAAAGCGACAACCAUAUGGCUCCUGCCGGUUGCCGAUAACUCGGUUACAAAACAUGAUCAUCUCAUACAAUAAAAUUCAGCAUCAUGUCUUGACCAUAUCACAUCACAACAUGCCCUGCAAAAACAAGUUAGACGUCCUCUACUUUGUUGUUGCAAGUUUUACGUGGCUGCUACGGGCUUAAGUAAGAACCAAUCUCACCUACGCAUCAAAACCACAACGAUAGUUUGUCAAUUUGACUCCGUUUUAACCUUCGCAAGGACCGGGCGUAGCCACACUUGGUUCAACUAAAGUUGGAGAAACUGUCACCCACAAGCCACCUCUGUGCAAAGCACGUCGGGAGAACUGGUCUCGCGUAAGUGUACGCGUAAUGUCGGUCUAGGCCGCUUCAUCCAACAAUACCGCCGAACCAAAGUAUGACAUGCUGGUAGGCAGUAUGACUUAUAUCGCCCACAACUCACUUGUGUUCUACUCGUGCAUAUAACAUCAACAUAUAAAACCUAGGCUCGGAUGCCACUGUUGGGGAACGUAGUAAUUUCAAAAAAAAUUCCUACGCACACGCAAGAUCAUGUGAUGCAUAGCAACGAGAGGGGGGAGUGUGAUCUACAUACCUAGUAGAUCGACAACGGAAGCGUUUGGUUGAUGUAGUCGUACGUCUUCGCGGCCCGACCGAUCAAGCACCGAAACUACGGCACCUCCGAGUUUUAGCACACGUUCAGCUCGAUGACGAUCCCCGGACUCCGAUCCAGCAAAGUGUCGGGGAAGAGUUCCGUCAGCACGAUGGCGUGGUAACGAUCUUGAUGUACUACUGCAGCAGGGCUUCGCCUAAACUCCGCUACAAUAUUAUCGAGGACUAUGGUGGCUGGGGGCGCCGCACACGGCUAAGGAAAAGAUCACGUGGAUCAACUUGUGUGUUCUAGGGUGCCUCUGCCUCAGUAUAUAAAGGACCAAAAGGGGGGAGGCUGGCCGGCCAAGGAGGGCGCACCAGGAGAGUCCUACUCCCUCUGGGAGUAGGAUUCCCCCCCCCAAUCCUAGUUGGAAUAGGAUUCACGGAGGGGGGGAAAAGAGAGAGAGGGGUCGGCCCCCUCUCCUUGUCCUAUUCGGACCAAGGGAGGGGAGGGGCGUGCGGCCCAUGAGGGGCUGCCUCUUCUCUUUUCCACUAAGGCCCAUCAUGGCCCAUAUAGCUCCCGGGGGGUUCCGGUAACCUCCCGGUACUUCGGUAAAAAUCCUGAUUUCACCCGGAACACUUCCGAUAUCCAAACAUAGGCUUCCAAUAUAUCAAUGUUUAUGUCUCGACCAUUUAGAGACUCCUCGUCAUGUCUGUGAUCACAUCCGGGACUCCGAACAACCUUCGGUACAUCAAAAUGCAUAAACUCAUAAUAUAACUGUCAUCGUAACCUUAAGCAUGCGGACCCUACGGGUUCGAGAACAAUGUAGACAUGAUCGAGACACGUCUCCGGUCAAUAACCAAUAGCGGGACCUGGAUGCCCAUAUUGGCUCCUACAUAUUCUACGAAGAUCUUUAUCAGUCAGACCACAUAACAACAUACGUCGUUCCCUUUGUCAUCGGUAUGUUACUUGCCCGAGAUUCGAUUGUCGGUAUUCCAAUACCUAGUUCAAUCUCGUUGCCGGCAAGUCUCUUUACUCGUUCUGUAAUACAUCAUCCCGCAACUAACUCAUUAGUUGCAAUGCUUGCAAGGCUUAAGUGAUGUGCAUUACCGAGAGGGCCCAGAGAUACCUCUCCGACAAUCGGAGUGACAAAACCUAAUCUCGAAAUACGCCAACCCAACAUGUACCUUUGGAGACACCUGUAGUACUCCUUUAUAAUCACCCAGUUACGUUGUGACGUUUGGUAGUACCCAAAGUGUUCCUCCGGUAAACGGGAGUUGCAUAAUCUCAUAGUUAUAGGAACAUGUAUAAGUCAUGAAGAAAGCAAUAGCAACAUACUAAAGAUCGGGUGCUAAGCUAAUGGAAUGGGUCAUGUCAAUCAGAUCAUUCUCUUAAUGAUGUGAUCCCGUUAAUCAAAUAACAACUCAUUGUUCAUGGUCAGGAAACAUAACCAUCUUUGAUUAACGAGCUAGUCAAGUAGAGGCAUACUAGUGACACUUUGUUUGUCUAUGUAUUCACACAUGUAUUAUGUUUCCGGUUAAUACAAUUCUAGCAUGAAUAAUAAACAUUUAUCAUGAUUAUAAGGAAAUAAAUAAUAACUUUAUUAUUGCCUCUAGGGCAUAUUUCCUUCACCNNNNNNNNNNNNNNNNNNNNNNNNNNNNNNNNNNNNNNNNNNNNNNNNNNNNNNNNNNNNNNNNNNNNNNNNNNNNNNNNNNNNNNNNNNNNNNNNNNNNNNNNNNNNNNNNNNNNNNNNNNNNNNNNNNNNNNNNNNNNNNNNNNNNNNNNNNNNNNNNNNNNNNNNNNNNNNNNNNNNNNNNNNNNNNNNNNNNNNNNNNNNNNNNNNNNNNNNNNNNNNNNNNNNNNNNNNNNNNNNNNNNNNNNNNNNNNNNNNNNNNNNNNNNNNNNNNNNNNNNNNNNNNNNNNNNNNNNNNNNNNNNNNNNNNNNNNNNNNNNNNNNNNNNNNNNNNNNNNNNNNNNNNNNNNNNNNNNNNNNNNNNNNNNNNNNNNNNNNNNNNNNNNNNNNNNNNNNNNNNNNNNNNNNNNNNNNNNNNNNNNNGCCUCUGCUCAUCAUAGUCAACGCCUUAUUGUCGAAAACAUUUUGCGACAAUUCGAACUUUGUAGAUAGUAACACUAUAUCAGCGUCUGUCUUCCUCUUGAAGAUCCAUUUAUUCUUAAUGACUCACCGAUCAUCGGGCAAGUCAAUCAAAGUCCAUACUUUGUUCUUAUACAUGGAUCCCAUCUCAGAUUUCAUGGCCUCAAGCCAUUUCGCGGAAUCUGGGCUCAUCAUCGCUUCCUCAUAGUUUGUAGGUUCGUCAUGGUCAAGUAACAUGACAUUCAGAACAGGAUUACCAUACCAUUCUGGUGCGGAUCCCAUUCUGGUUGACCUACUAGGUUCGGUAGUAACUUGAUCUGAAGUUACAUGAUCAUCAUUAUUAGCUUCCUCACUAAUUGGUGUAGGAGUCACAGGAACAGAUUUCUGUGAUGAACUACUUUCCAAUAAGGGAUCAGGUACGGUUGCCUCAUCAAGUUCUACUUUCCUCCCACUCACUUCUUUUAAGAUAAACUCCUUCUCUAGAAAGGAUCCAUUCUUAGCAACGAAUGUCUUGCCUUUGGAUCUGUGAUAGAAGGUGUACCCAACUUUCUCCUUUGGGUAUCCUAUGAAUACACAUUUCUCCAAUUUGGGUUUGAGCUUAUCAGGAUGAAACUUUUUCACAUAAGCAUCGCAACCCCAAACUUUAAGAAACGACAACUUUGGUUUCUUGCCAAACCACACUUCAUAUGGAGUCGUCUCAACGGAUUUAGAUGGUGCCAUAUUUAACGUGAAUGCAGUUGUCUCUAAUGCAUAACCCCAAAAUGACAGUGGUAAAUCGGUAAGAGACAUCAUAGAUUGCACCAUAUCUAAUAAAGUACGGUUACGAUGUUCGGACACACCAUUAUACUGUGGUGUUCCAGGUGGCGUGAGUUGCGAAACUAUUCCGCAUUGUUUCAAAUGAAGACCAAACUCGUAACUCAAAUAUUCUCCUCCAUGAUCAGAUCGUAGAAACUUUAUUUUCUUGUUACGAUGAGUUUCCACUUGACUCUGAAAUUAUUUGAACUUUUCAAAUGUUUCAGAUUUAUGUUUCAUCAAGAAGAUAUGCCCAUAUCUUACUCAAAUCAUCUGUGAAGGUCAGAAAAUAACGAUACAUGCCGCGAGCCUCAACACUCAUCGGACUGCAUACAUCAGUAUGUAUUAUUUCCAACAAGUCUGUUGCUCGCUCCAUUGUUCCGGAGAACAGAGUCUUAGUAAUCUUGUCCAUGAGGCAUGGUUCGCAAACAUCAACUAAUUCAUAAUCAAGUGAUUCCAAAAGCCCAUCAACAUGGAUUUUCUUCAUGCGCUUUACACCAAUAUGACCUAAACGGCAGUGCCACAAAUAAGUUGCACUUUCAUUAUUAACUUUGCAUCUUUUGGCUUCAAUAUUAUGAAUAUGUGUAUCAUUACGAUCAAGAUUCAAUAAACCAUUCACCUUGGGUGUAUGACCAUUGAAGGUUUUAUUCAUGUAAACAGAACAACAAUUAUUCUCUGACUUUAAAUGAAUAACCGUAUUACAAUAAACAUGAUCAAAUCAUAUUCAUGCUUAACGCAAAUACCAAAUAACAUUUAUUUAGGUUCAACACUAAUCCCGGAAGUAUAGGGAGUGUGCGAUGAUGAUCAUAUCAAUCUUGGAACCACUUCAAACACACAUCGUCACUUCACCCUUAACUAGUCUCUGUUCAUUCUGCAACUCCCAUUUUGAGUUACUAAUCUCAACAACUGAACUAGUAUCAAAUACUAAGGGGUUGCUAUAAACACUACUAAAGUACACAUCAAUAACAUGUAUAUCAAAUAUACUUUUGUUCACUUUGCCAUCCUUCUUAUCCACCAAAUACUUGGGGCAGUUCUGCUUCCAGUGACAAGUCCCUUUGCAGUAGAAGCACUUAGUCUCAGGCUUAGGUCUAGACUUGGGCUUCUUCACUUGAGCAGCAACUUGCUUGUUGUUCUUCUUGAAGUUCCCCUUCUUCCCUUUGCCCUUUUCUUGAAACUAGUGGUCUUGUCAACCAUCAACAAUUUAUGCUUUUCUUGAUUUCUACCUUUCUCGAUUUCAGCAUCACGAAGAGCUUGGGAAUCGUUUUCAUUAUUCCUUGCAUAUUAUAGUUCAUCAUGAAGUUUCAGUAACUUGGUGAUAGUAACUAGAGAACUCUGUCAAUCACUAUCUUAUCUGGAAGAUUAACUCCCACUUGUUUCAAGUGAUUGUAGUACUCAGACAUUCUGAGCACAUGCUCACUAGCUGAGAUAUUCUCCUCCAUCUUGUAGGCAAAGUGCUUGUCAAAGGUCUCAUACCUUUCCACAUGGGCAUGAGUCUAAAAUACUAAUUUCACUUGGAACAUCUCAUAUGCUCCAUGGCAUUCAAAAUGUCUUCGAAGCCCCGAUUCUAAGCCGUAAAGCAUGGUUCACCUAACUAUCAAGUAGUCAUCAUAUUGAGCUCGCCAAACAUUCAUAACGUCUGUAUCUGCUCCUGCAAUCGGUCUGUCACCUAGUGGUGCAUCAAGGACAUAAUUCUUCUGUGCAGCAAUGAGGAUAAUCCUCAGAUCACGGAUCCAAUCCGCAUCAUUGCUACUAACAUCUUUCAACUUAGUUUUUCUCUAGGAACAAAUCAAAAUAAAUGGGGAGCUACAUCGCGAGCUAUUGAUCUACAAUAUAGUUAUGCAAAUACUAUCAAGACUAAGUUCAUGAUAAAUUAAGGUUCAAUUAAUCAUAUUACUUAAGAACUCCCACUUAGAUAGACAUCCCUCUAAUCAUCUAAGUGAUCACGUGAUCCAAAUCAACUAAACCAUAACCGAUCAUCACGUGAAAUGGAGUAGUUUUUAAUGGUGAACAUCACUAUGUUGAUCAUAUCUACUAUAUGAUUCACGCUCGACCUUUCGGUCUCAGUGUUCUGAGGCCAUAUCUGUAUAUGCUAGGCCAUCAUCAUCUUGUGCCUUUGAUCUCCAUCUCCAAGGUACCGUCAUGAUCUCUAUCGUCACCGACAUGACACCAUGAUCUCCAUUAUCUUGAUCUCUAUCAACGUGUCGUCACAUGGUUGUCUCGCCAACUAUUGCUCUUGCAACUAUUGCUAUCGCAUAACGAUAAAGUAAAGCAAUUGUUUGGCGCUUGCAUCUUAUGCAAUAAAGAGACAACCAUAAGGCUUCUGCCAGUUGCCGAUAACUUCAACAAAACAUGAUCAUCUCAUACAACAACUUAUAUAUCACCACGUCUUGACCAUAUCACAUCACAACAAGCCCUGCAAAAACAAGUUAGGCGUCCUCUACUUUGUUGUUGCAAGUUUUAAGUGGCUGCUACGGGCUGAGCAAGAACCAUUCUUACCUACGCAUCAAAACCACAACGAUAGUUCGUCAAGUUAGUGUUGUUUUAACCUUCAACAAGGACCAGUCGUAGUCACACUCGGUUCAACUAAAGUUGGAGAAACUGACACCCGCCAGCCACCUGUGUGCAAAGCACGUCGGUAGAACGAGUCUCGCGUAAGCGUACGCGUAAUGUCGGUCCGGACUGCUUCAUCCAACAAUACCGCCGAACCAAAGUAUGACAUGCUGGUAAGCAGUAUGACUUGUAUCGCCCACAACUCACUUGUGUUCUACUCGUGCAUAUAACAUCUACGCAUAAACCUGGCUCGGAUGCCACUGUUGGGGAACGUAGUAAUUUCAAAAUUUUCCUACGCACACACAAGAUCAUGGUGAUGCAUAGUAACGAGAGGGAAGAGUAUCGUCCACGUACCCUCAUAGACUGUAAGCGGAAGUGUUAUGAGAACGCGGUUGAUGUAGUCGAACGUCUUCACGAUCCGACCAAUUCAAGUACCGAACGCACGACACCUCUGAGUUAAGCACACGUUCAGCUCGAUGAUGUCCCACGAACUCCGAUCUAGCAGAGCUUCACGGGAGAGUUCCGUCAGCACGACAGCGUGGUGACGGUGAUGAUGUUGGUACCGACGCAGGGCUUCGCCUAAGCACCGCUACGAUAUGAUCGAGGUGGAUUAUGGUGGAGGGGGGCACCGCACACGGCUAAGGGAUCAAUGAUCAACUUGUGUGUUCUAGGAUGCCCCCCUCCCCCCAUAUAUAAAGGAGCAACGGGGGAGGCCGGCCGGCCCCUGUAGGGCGCGCCAGGAGGAGUCCUCCUCCUAGUAGGAGUAGGACACCCCUUUCCUACUCCUACUAGGAGGAGGAAAGGAAGGGGGAAGGGGAGAAAGAAGGAGAGGGAGGAAAGGAGGAAUGGGGGGCCGCCCCCCUAGUCCAAUUCGAUUUGAGCUAGGGGGGCCGCGCGCCCUGCCUCCUCUCUUCCACCACUUGGCCCAUGAGGCCCAAUACUUCUUCCUCGUAUUCCCGUAACUCCCCGGUACUCCAAAAAAUACCCAAAUCACUCGGAACCUUUCCGAUGUCCGAAUAUAGCCGUCCAAUAUAUCGAUCUUUACGUCUCGACCAUUUCGAGACUCCUCAUCAUGUCCCUGAUCUCAUCCGGGACUCUGAACUACCUUCGGUACAUCAAAUCACUUAAACUCAUAAUACCGAUCGUCACCGAACGUUAAGCGUGCGGACCCUACGGGUUCGAGAACUAUGUAGACAUGACCGAGACACGUCUCCGUUCAAUAACCAAUCGCGGAACCUAGAUGUUCAUAUUAGCUCUUACAUAUUCUACGAAGAUAUUUAUCGGUCAAACCGCAUAACAACAUACGUUGUUCCCUUUGUCAUCGAUAUGUUACUUGCCCGAGAUUUGAUCGCCGGUAUCUCAAUACCUAGUUCAAUAUCGUUACCGGCAAGUCUCUCUACUCGUUUCCUAAUGCAUCAUCCCGCAACUAACUCAUUAGUUGCAUUGCUUGCAAGGCUUAUAGUGAUGUGCAUUGCCGAGAGGGCCCAGAGAUACCUCUCCGACAAUCGGAGUGACAAAUCCUAAUCUUGAUCUAUGCCAACUCAACAAGCACCAUCGGAGACACCUGUAGAGCACCUUUAUAAUCACCCAGUUACGUUGUGACGUUUGGUAGCACACAAAGUGUUCCUCCGGCACUCGGGAGUUGCAUAAUCUCAUAGUCAUAGGAACAUGUAUAAGUCAUGAAGAAAGCAAUAGCAACAAACUAAACAAUCAUCGUGCUAAGCUAACGGAUGGGUCAAGUCAAUGACAUCAUUCUCUAAUGAUGUGGUCCUGUUAAUCAAAUGACAACUCAUGUCUAUGGUUAGGAAACAUAACCAUCAUUGAUUCAACGAGCUAGUCAAGUAGAGGCAUACUAGUGACAUUCUGUUUGUCUAUGUAUUCACACAUGUACUAAGUUUCCGAUUAAUACAAUUCUAGCAUGAACAAUAAACAUUUAUCAUGAAAUAAGGAAAUAAAUAAUAACUUUAUUAUUGUCUCUAGGGCAUAUUUCCUUCAGAACUGUGACUGCAUCAACCUGGUACGAUGAAGUCCAUGGCGUCGACGUAGAUCGUGCGGACAGGGUCCGGUGGGUUGAUGUCGAACAUGUCUCCCCCGUCUGUGGUGAAGGUGAAGGAGCCAGAGAAGAUCCGAUCUGAGAUUUGUCACUAGACGAUGCUUCUGAUGCAUGACGCGCCAACUAACGAUGUGGAAAAUUGUCAGUACCCUCUAUGGGGUUACUAGCGUGUGGUUAGAAGUCUUAAAUCAGAGGUCACACAGUGGUUUUACCCAGGUUCGGGCCUCUGGUGAGGAAUAAUACCCUACAACAUGCUUGUCAUUGUUAUUCAUUAUGGGUAUACCUCGUGUGAGGGAUUAUAAGGGAUUGGUGUAGUUCUACCGAGAGAUGAGUCUAUCUGAGAAUAGAUGGAAAUAAGAGCCCCCGCCUCCCCUUAUAUGGGUUGUUUGAUCUAGGCCGCCGCAUCAUAGACUUGGAGACCAAGAUGACCCAGAGACUCUUAUCUCUUUCUCCAGGCUCCUUCCUAUCGUGAGGUACUUGGCUAGCCUCCUGGGCCCUCAAGCAGGCCUGCAGCCUGGAUCCCUGUGGGUGAGCCACCCCUAGGGCUGCCUCCCCUACCCCCGCCUAUAUAUAUAUGUGUGUGUGUGUGUGUGAGGAGGGAGAGGGGAAACACCACCACGAUCCUCAACCGUGUGCGGCACCCCCUCUCCCUCUAGUUCUAGUUUCUCCUCGUCCAUGUCCGUUGUGCUUGGCGAAGCCCUACGGAAUAGUUUCACCACCACCGUUACAACAUUGUCGUGCUACCGGAACUCAUCUACUACUUCGCCUCUCUUGCUGGAUUGAGAAGGUGAGAACGUCAUCGAGCUAAACGUGUGUUGAAAGCGGAGGUGCCGUACGUUCGGCACUUGAUCGAGACAGAUUGUGAAGGUGUACAACUACAUCAACCGCGUUGAUAAACGCUUCCGCUUAGCGAUCUACAAGGGUAUAUAGAUGAUCUCCCCCCUCCCAUAGCUAUGCAUGUCCAUGGAUAGAUCUUGCAUGUGCGUAGAAUUUUUUUAUUUUUCAUGCAACGUUCCCCAACAAGUACCUCCAUUAUUUAGAGAAAAAAAUUUAGUUUGUCCUUAUUCCCAUGAGCAAUCCUAUGAAAGUAACUUGUGUUAUUGCCCCCUUUAAAAAGCCAAUUUUCACUUGAUCUUCUAUGAAAAUACUCUUCCUUUUCUUCCAAAGAUCCACAAAUGGCACUUUAAAUCUUGUCACGUUUAAACAAAAUGUUUAUGUCAAAAUUUCUUCACAAGGAAAGAAUGCACUGCCGAAGAGACUCACAAACUUGUUUUCUUCAAAAAAGACAAAGGAAAUCAUAUAUUAAAGUCAACCGACCCUUAUAGGCCAUCUUAAAGAAAUUAAAAAUUACACACAUGUCUUUGCGGAAUCAACUAGGGGGGGGGCAAGCUCAUAGCUCGCGAGCUUAAUGAGCGCUCGAUAAUUUGGCUCGUUAAGAUCGUGGCUCGAUUCUUAAUGAACAGAGCCAAUCAUCGAUUUUAUCUCGUUAAGCUUAACGAACGACCUAACGAGUUUCACAAGUAGCUCGUUAAGCUCAUUUGUAACAACACAACACAUAUUUUCAUCUCACGUGACAGUUUUGUAGGACCUCAGCCAUCUAUUCAGUUUAAUCUACAUAGGAGGCAACAAACUAGUGCAUUCCCCUUUGUAGUCACCACCUUCCUUCUUAAAACCACAUCUAAACACUCAACCUAUAGACCAUAAACACAUCAGAAUCUGUUAACAAGCGCUCGCGAGCUUAACGAGCUUCGAACAGAGCAAAGUUUUCUGCUCGUUAAUAUUAACGAGCUUAACGGGCAUGAGCUUAAAGAGCCGAGUCGCUCGUUAAUCCACCCAUGUUGUUUGAGAUGUUUAGGGGCGGCAUCGAGCUUCACUCAUUGUGCACCACUGGGAGUGCAACCUAUGCAACAACAUUAGAGCCAGAUAAACAUUGUUGACGCAACAUGCAGGAAGUUAUCGGUUGGAGCCAGAAGACGUCGUCGAUAUCGAUCUGGGAAACUGAUAACCCACAAGUAUAGGGGAUCUUUUGUAGCCUUCUUCGAUAAAUAAGAGUGUCGAACCGAAUGAGGAGCUAAAGAUAGAGCAAAUAUUCCCUCAAGUUCUACCGACCACCGAUACAACUCUACGCACACUUGACAUUUGCUUUACCAAAAAUAAGUAUGAAACUAUUUUGCAAGAAUAAAACUACGAGUACUUUGCGAGAAUAAAACUAUGAAUAAAUUGCAAGGUAAUAAAAAUGGAUAUCUUUUGUCAACAAGAAAGUCAUUUGUCCCUAGGUAAUCGAUAACAAGUACCGAUAAUCAUUUGUGUAAUUUUACAUAAGGGAGGGGCAUGAGCUAACAUACUUUCUCUACUUGGAUCAUAUGCACUUAUGAUUGGACCCCUAGCAAGCAUCCGCAACUACUAAAGAUCAUUAAGGUCGUGAAACCCAACCAUAGCAUUAAGUAUCAAGUCCUCUUUACUCCCAUACGCCAUAACCCACUUAUCCGCGUUUAGGCUGUUGUCACCCCCGCAACACCGACAAUAAGCAAACCAUGAACAUAUUGCAACACCCUACAGCGGGGGCCCCUCCGUUUGCGCGACACGGAGGGCACCGUAGGACAACACCAUAAAUAAAAUAUACAAUCAUACCAAACAAGAUCACGAUUAACCCACAGGACAAACCAUAUCUACUCAAACAUCAUAGGAUAAUCAUAGAUCAUUGGAAAAUAAUAUAUGGAGUUGAGAACCAUGUUUAAGUAGAGAUUACAUCAGGGAGAAGGGGCAUUGCACCGCUGCAUAGAGGGGGAGAAAGUUGGUGUUGACGGUAGUAAUAUUGUUGAUGUAGAUCGCCGUCACGAUCCUUGCCCCGGCGGCGUUUCGACGCCGCCGGGAGAGAGGGGGGGAGAGCCUCCCUCCUUCUUCUUCUUCCUUGGCCUCCCCCCUAGAUGGGAGGAGAGUUCCCCCUUUGGUCCAUGGUCUCCAUGNNNNNNNNNNNNNNNNNNNNNNNNNNNNNNNNNNNNNNNNNNNNNNNNNNNNNNNNNNNNNNNNNNNNNNNNNNNNNNNNNNNNNNNNNNNNNNNNNNNNNNNNNNNNNNNNNNNNNNNNNNNNNNNNNNNNNNNNNNNNNNNNNNNNNNNNNNNNNNNNNNNNNNNNNNNNNCCCUCUCAGUUCUCUUCUGUUUCACAUUUUAGAUCUGGCCCUUCACCGUUUCUUUAAUUCCUGGAGAGUCGUAACUCCGAUUGCGCUGGAAUUUUUGCACAAUUUUUCCCCAUAAAUUAUCUUUAUUGCGCCAGAAGAAGGGCCCCAGCCGUGUUUCGAGGAGGGCAUAAGACACCUGGGCGUGUCAAGGGGUGCCCGGCGCGCCCUAGUGGGUCUUGGGGGCUGUGGGCCCCCGUUUGCUUUGGUUUCACCUCCCCAAAAUCACAUGUAUUCCAAAAUAAUUCUUCGUAAAUUUUUAUCGCGUUUGGACUUCGUUUGAUAUGGAUUUUUUGCGAAACAAAAAACAUGCAACAAAUAGGAACUGACAUUGGGCACUGGAUCAAUAUGUUAGUCCAAAUAAAUCAUAUAAAAUGUUGCCAAAAGUUUAUAACAGUUGUAUAAUAUUGGCAUGAAGCAAUCAAAAAUUAUAGAUACAAUGAAGACGUAUCAGAAACAUAUCACCAUGACGAAGAAGACACAACGUAGAGGACUAGAUGACAACCCAACUCCGGCUAGACAUGGUCGAGGAGGCCUUACCUUAUAAGCUCCCUGAUGAUGUCAAAGUUGUUCGAACGUCGCCGUUUGGAGAAGGAGCCAGAGGACUAUGACAUGAAGCGACAUUGUCCAGUCUGUUGGAGGACGCUUUUGAAUACCACAUGCAUAACACGGGGACACAAUCAAAUCAGCCACUCUAGAAAGAGCAGCGACCAGACGACUCACACCCUCCUGCCAUCGAGGAGACCGUCGUUGACAAGGUGGAUCGAGAGUCGGAGAAUCUUAUUCUUGAUCCACAUAACAUUGCCAUCAUCACCACAAUGCUACCACCGGGGAGGGAAACUCUUAACUCUAAAAGACCUAACCACAAUACCACAAUGUCUAUCUAGGAUCCCCACUACGAGGCUUGGAUCAUGCAAGUAAAGAUAUCUCCGAAGCUGUCGACCACAAGUCUAACACAUACCAAUUCAGUUAUCAAAGGUGAGGAUGCACCGAGGGAGACAAGAUCCACGACGCUGGUUCAAGCUAUUAUGACUGUUAUUUACUUAAUCACCGUACAUUUUACAUUACCUAAGAACAACAUGUAUAUCACUACACUAACAACCGCUUUGAAGGAGGUAAGAAGAGAAGAGACUACAUCCUAUCCUAUACUCCUACUCAGGUAGUCUCUCUUCUUCAUGUAUAUCCUGGCCCACCAUUCGCGGAACCCUAACUUCUCCUCAAAAUCGAGAGAACUCGCUUUAAAAAAACCCAAGGGAACUCUAUGCGAGCCCUGUACAGCCACCAUCGCUCCACCCGCUCCCCACAGGUCAGGCUACGGGUUCCCUUCGCAUUUAUAUGCCGCUUGAUGGCAGGACAUGGUAGAUGUAAAGCCUCCAAUAGGUUUCUGAUCAAAUCCAGGAGGAAUUGAUGGGGAUUUUGAGGAAUCAAUGUUUUUUGUUGUUUGGCACAAAUUAUGAAAUAAAGUGUGUGCACGACAAGAUAUAAAGACUGGAAAAGUUCUGUGUUCAAUAUUAGAAAAAUGUGCCCAUUCUCACAAAAAAGAAAAAAAGUGUCCUAUAACAAAAGGACCGCACUAUUUGGCACAUGUGUGGCAGAUAGCAAAACUGUCACACACCUCUUUUUUUCCUUCUAAUUGCAUGCAUGCAUGCUACUCGCUCGCUUCUUUCAUGUUUAUUUCUUUCUCUAAUUACAUACAUGCACUAGUGGGAAAAAAACUGAUGUCAUGCUAAAAUCUCCUUAUUCCGAAAUUCAAAAUGUUUUGUAGCCCAAACCGUCGGUCCGAUGCAAAAACUGUUAUCACAUAAAAGAUUCGUCUCGACGAAAUCUUCAAAACUAGAUUCCAUAUUGGUAUGUUCCGAUGACAUUUUUCAGGUCAAAAGUUAUCAUGCCUCUGCUACAUAUGUUACCACCCAUGUGGUAUGCAAGCUAUCGUGCUAUGUCCAUAUAAGUUAUCGGGGUUAUAAUUUUCAACAACUCCCCCCUUGGUCAAAAGUUACCACAAUGUUUGCACGUAAGUUAUUGGAUAUGCAGUUCGUAUAUUACCAUGAUAUUUCACAUAAAUUAGAGGGCUAUAUUUUUUAACUUGUUCCCCUCCUUGGUUAAAGUUAUCAUGGUGUACGUAAUUUAUCCGGUAUGCCGUUCGUAUAUCACCGUGUUAUUUUCAUAUAAGUUACCAGGGGUAUAUUUGAAAAUUAAAAAUGUUUUGUAACUCAAACAGUCGGUCCAAUUCAAAAAUAUAAUUUCACAUAAAAAAUCCAUCGCGAUUAAGACCUUCAAAACUCAAUCUCAUGUUGGUAUGUUCUAAUGACUUUUCUUGAGAGUCAAAAGCUACCACGCCUAGGCUAAUGAAAUUAUCACGUCAUCGGUGUGUAUAUAUUAUCAUGUUAUUUGCAAAGAAAAGUUAUCGUGGAUGUUUUCAACAAUUUUUUUCCUCAAGGGUGAAAAGUUACCAUGGUGUUUUUAAGUAAGUUAUCAGAUAUGUGGCGUGUAUGUUACCAAGGUAUUUACACAUAAGUUAGAGGGGGUACAUUUUUAACAGCCUUUUUACUGUGGCAAAAGAUUACCAUGGUAUUUGUACCUAAGUUAUUAAGUAUGUUGCAUGUAUAUAGUACCAUAUUAUUUACACAUAAGCUACUCGGGAUAUGUCUUUGCAACAAUUUUUGGCCUCGGGUUCAAACUUAUUACAUAGUUUAUACGUAUGUCUUUGAGUAUGCGGUGCAUAAAUUAUCAUGAUCUUUACGCCAAAAUUAUAGGGGGUAUGUUUUCAAUAUCAUUUUCCCCACAGGUCAAUGUUACCACGGUGUUCAUACGUAAGUUACCAGAUAUGCAUCGCGUAAAUUGUCAUACUAUUUACAUAGAAAUUACCGAGCUAUUGUUCUUCGAAUAAAAUUCCUCGGUAGAAAUUAGCACGGUGUUGCAGAUAAGUUAUUAGGUCUAUGGUGCGUAAAUUAGCAUGCUAUACACAUAAAAGUUACCAGGUAUAUUUCAAGAAUUUUGUUCCUAGGUCCAAAAAAUUAUCUGGCCUGGACUGCAUAAGUUACCGCACCUGCAGUAUGUAAAAUUACCAUGUUGUUUAUGCAGAUGUUACCGGACAUGAAACCUGAACUAUUUUCAACGUUUCAAUGGGGUUUUUUAGGUCGGAAUAUCGUCCGGUACAACCAAUCAUUACCAAUAUUGUUUACAUGUUGCUUCCAAUAAAAAAUCGUUUGAGUUGUCGGUCUACUUGUGGGUUGUUAGGACCACAAGUGUGCUCAAUUUAUGCCGUCUAGGCCCGAUUCAGGUCGAUGAGCACUGAUACAGUGGUAAACCCAAACUUAGUGCAAAAAUUUACAGAGGUGUGAUGUUCAUUUUCUACUAUAUAAGUACAGGAGAGGAGAUUGUGUAGGUCAGGGAUCCCAACUCAAACUCCCUGAAUCUUAAUGCUAGUGUUUCAGGCCUUUGUAUAGUGAUUUGUUGGAGCCUUUUGCAAUCUAUCGUCGUGCAAAUAACUGAACCUGAUUGGAAUGAUUAGUCUAUUCACCCAAGCUUCAGACAACACUGGAUUUUACAAGAGGUUGCAGCAGGGAGGUGAGCAGCAGUAGCAGCCACAAGAGGCGUUGGUGAAAAAACAGGAGCAACAAAUGUAUAUGGAUUUGGAGCCGCCUCAUUGCAGAAUAAGAGCAGCAAGGACGAUGAUCAAAUAGGAGCGUCAGUGUAAAAAAUCAAGCCGGCUCGCCGCCGUACUUCUUCUAUGUCACUACGUGCUCUGCUGUGCCCCGCAUCACAUGCAAACCCAAUCCAGAAUCAACAACAAAUCAAGCCAUCUCGCCGUCCUAGGGAGCAAAACAAGCACAACGGGGAGCUUCCAGUCCUAGGCUGCCGUUGGUGAUGAAUCCAAGGAGAUGGGAGGGAGUUCUAGUCCUGGGCGUACCUAGGCGUCGCCGUGGCCAUCAAAGAGGUGCGACGAGAGGCGGAGCGCGUCGGCGUUGAGACCCAGCCCAUCGAGGUCGCGGCGCAUGGCGAGCAGGCGCACAUAGAUGUCAGCGAAGCGCGGAACCACGGCGCAGGCGUCCUCCAUCUCCCCGCUGCGGCCGGGCGGCCGGGCUUGUGAGCGCAUCUCUUCAGGCCGGCGUGCCUUGCGGGCCAAAUCCAUGGCAAGGAAGAUUCAUGUGGUGGUGCGGGGAUGAAGACGAGCGAAGGGGAGGAAUAGCCACGCGAUGCCACAUGGUUGCCACAUACAUAUUUCGAUAACAAAAAGGCAAACGUGACCUUUGCGUGAUGGACCCCCCGGCUGAACCGUCAUUGACCUGACCUGACCGUGGACCGUCGGACGCGUCGGGAGCCAGAUCUCACUCCACCACUCGCACCCGUCCCCACACUCCCCACCGCGCAGCCCUCCCCUUCGUCGGCAGCCCAAAAACCCUCGGGGGCGAAGCGAGGAGAGGGCGGCAAUGGCGGAGGCGAGCCGCAGCCACCCGUCGCAGUACGUGAGGCUGAAGAAGGACCAGGACGCUUCCGCCUCCGGCCCCAGCGUGGAGGACAUCCGCCCUGGCGAGCUCAACCUGCCCGUCGCCGUCCCGCAGGUCGGUCUCGCCAUUCCUCGCGCGAUCCUCGUUUUCUUCCAAUUUCUGCUGCCGCAAUUGUUUGUUCGGGGAAUCGGGAUGGUCCGAUCUGAUUCUGGGCGCUGCGCCGUGUGGCUGUAUAGCUGGAGCAGAGGAAGUGCUUCGAAUGCGGGCAGGUGCUGCCUGAGAGCCACCGGUCGCCCGCCGACGAGCCGUGGACAACCGGCAUCUUCGGGUGCGCCGAAGACCCCNNNNNNNNNNNNNNNNNNNNNNNNNNNNNNNNNNNNNNNNNNNNNNNNNNNNNNNNNNNNNNNNNNNNNNNNNNNNNNNNNNNNNNNNNNNNNNNNNNNNNNNNNNNNNNNNNNNNNNNNNNNNNNNNNNNNNNNNNNNNNNNNNNNNNNNNNNNNNNNNNNNNNNNNNNNNNNNNNNNNNNNNNNNNNNNNNNNNNNNNNNNNNNNNNNNNNNNNNNNNNNNNNNNNNNNNNNNNNNNNNNNNNCUAGCCGAUCUAGUUCUGCUACUUCCUCCCGCUCUAGACGGGUCACACCUUCAAAAUUCGUGGUAGUUUUGAUGUGCUGAUAUGCCAGAGUUGGCAGGAAUUUUCAUGUGGAUCUGCACAGGAUGGGGUUGUGUUGCUGUGGUUGAGCUCAGGGUUUGUGGCUAUUACACACAUUGCACAACUCAGCAACUAGAUGUUUGUUUCCAUGGCAUUGAAGUGUUACUGAAGUGUCACCGACAGAGGUUAGGUGCUUUAGUUUUAAAUCCUUUAGCGGUCCCGCGUAUUAAGCGCACACAAGUUUUUAUUAUGAAGCCCGUACGUCAAGUGAAUCUCUCUCUAGUAAAGAAAAGAGAAACAUCUGCACAAGGAUGGCCCAUACACCUCCUAUCCUCCUUUUUUUUCAUUUAGGCUUUUAUUGUUUUCCAUUUUUUACAUGUGUUUGUUACAGACUAUUUUUCAGCACUAAAGGUGUUUCUUUCAAAAUUUCAAUUACAAAUUAUAACAAUAUUUAUAUUCUUAUAGAUCAUUGUGAAAUAUUUCCACAUUAGUUUAGUGAGCAGUUGCCUGUCAGAAAUUUGGUGUUGCCUCCUUUUUACUUGGUACCAGUUGAGACAGUUUUCAAACAGAGAUGCUUUGCAAAUCUGAAUUUUCUUCCUCUCUGUCAUUUUUUCAUUAACAACCGUGAACUUAAUCGAGGAACAAACCAUGGUAGACUAAACAUAUAGUCAAUUAAUUCUUUCUCAUGUCUAUGAGAAAGGCAUGGUUGAUAUUUUACAUUGCACAUAUAACUCAGUUGUAAACUGGAGCCAACCCGAUGCUGAUUUAUGUCUUAUACUACACAUGUAACUCAAAUUUAUAAUGUGGAGUCGAUCCGAAGCAUGUCUGCCCUACAUUUAGGAGUAUUUUACCUAGACUAGAGGGGUAGAGGUUCAUGACUGAACAGUCCAAAUUGAGUACUUCAUUUUUUUAUAGCUUGCUUAGGAGUACUUUAUUUUGAAAUAUUAAUUGUUCACAUACACUUUUUUGUAUCAUAUUGCAAGCCUUUAUGGUUUGCAAAUUUGAAGUUCUGUUAUCUUUUUGGUCUUCUAUUAUCUUUGUAAAAUUAGCCUGUGAUGAUGUGCUCAUGUGGGAAGGGAUUAGGCACUGGUCAUUGUCUGAAAGAAAUAAAGAGUAGCAGUCGUAACGUCUGGCUUCGAUUAUCAUGUUCUUAUUGUUAAAGACGACCCUUCUUUUUUCCGUAUUGGAAAAGUUCUUCAAAAUGUAGGGUGUGUUUGGUUUUGAGCCAAAGCUGGCCUUGCCAAAACAUUGGCGUGCCCAUGAGUUUUGGCUGUUGUUUGGUUGGACACCAAAUAUUUGGCUUGCCCAACCCAGCCGGCGUUUGCCCAUGCAGUUCUCGCCAGUACGCGGGCGAGCCGUGGGGUGAAUUCGUCCACCAGAAUAUUGUCUGCCAGCCUGCUAGCAUUCCCGCGUAUUAUGCUUCGGUCUUACGCGAGCCGGAAAAUUAAUUAGCUAGCUUGUAUACGCACGCCUCCUCUGAUCGUAUUGAUCAAGUCGGCUAGUACGUCUGUUUCACUCGGUCAAAAGCCUGUACAUGCUGCUUCUCUGAACUUUUCUUUACUGUUCUUUUUUCUGAAUGUUUGAUCAUCAUGAUUUAUGGGCUCCUUAUAUAAAAAUUUCAAGUUAAGACCUCAGAUGCUGAUAUGUGGCAUGUUAAUUGGCUACAAACCAAACUGAGACCCAACCAUUUUGCCAAAAAAUUGGUACGUGCUAUGGCUACAAUCCAAACAACACUACCACACCAAAAUUUUGGUCAUGCCCUUGCUUUGGCUAUGCCAAAAUUUUGGCAGGGCAAGUUGGGGCACAAACCAAACAGCCCCGUACACACUUCUACAGCUGACUGUCGGUUAUCAUUUUAGCUCUUUUAGGCUCUUUGCAAAAUCAACGUGCUGUGAGAAUGUGCUCAUAUUGAAAAGAAUUUGCAACUUCCAUUGUUUCAAAGAAGCAAAAAUUAGCAGUUGUAACGUUUACUUUUACUACAAUGCUUUUGAUCUAAAGAUGUCUUUCUUCUUGAUCUGUUUGAAAGUUCUUGUACAUGUACACUUUCCCACUAUAAGUGUUAAUUGCGAUAAACUGUUGAGCACAUAAAUGACUGCGUCGUACAUGGCCGAAACCUGAAAGCUUAAUGGAAUAGCUAAUUCUUUUUUCUUUCUUGACUUCCAUAGGUUGGAUUUUUUUUUAAAAAUCUUGUAGUGAUGGAUCUUGUAAUAUGCUCCGAGGUUCCUUAUGCCGUUCUUCUGAACUUGAACACAGAGCAGCUGAAUCUCUAAUCACAAGAGGGACCAUCUCCAGGUUUACUGAAGAGUUAAUCUAAGCACUAAAAGGAACACCAUAAAGUUUGCGGAUGUGUCUACUAAUCAUAAUUGCUUAGUCUAUUACCGACUUUCAUUCAUGGGGCCUUCUUAUUCAAAUUGUGUCAUCAUAGGGUUUGUGAUGUUUGUACCUUUAUGCUUCAGUCCGUGCAGUUUUCAUAUAUAUUACUGCUAAAUUCUGAGAUACUUCUGAACCACUUGCGUGUCUGAUCUUCUUACUUUUUUAGGCCGGACUGGUCUAUUCUGCCCCUGUGUUUUGUUUGGACGAAAUGUUCAGGCUCUUAGAGAAGAUAUCCCAUGGACAACACCCUGCACUUGCCAUGCUGUCUGUGUUGAAGGUGGCAUUGCAUUGGCAAUCCUUACGGCUAUAUUCCAUGGUGUUGACCCAGACACAUCAGUCCUGAUUGGUGAAGGCCUGGUGUUCGGUUGGUGGUUAUGCUCUAUAUAUACUGGUAAUUUUCGUCUACAGCUUCAGAGGAGGUAUCAUCUCGAGGUACUUCUUUCUCUCUUCCACUGUUUUCUUUGUAUGUGUCAUGAUAAAUCGCAUUCAGAAGAACAUCUACAAACAGUUGUAUUUAUUUCUACUAUAAGAAGUACAGAAUUGCAUUCUCCAUCUGAGAUAGUUGUAUCAGGUAUGCAGGCGUCCAGAAGCAAACUGCAUGGUUAAAGUUAUGUGUAUCCGUCCUCACUAAAAUAAAGUUCUGUAGUUUGGACGAGAGAGUUAUGUCGUCCAGCGAACUUCUGUCACUGUCAUGAAAUUUUUGCUUGGCAUUGUCCACUGGCGGUAGCUGGUUAUAUCAUUGAAUUAUCAGACCAUUUCAUCAACCCUGUAUUGCUCAUCAUUGUGAGCAUGGAGGGUCCUUGACCACCUUUUCACGUAUAGUAUCUUUUUGUGGUCACUAAUUCUAAUCAGUUGUCACGUCUAGCAUUUGAUAUGCGGGCUGGGCUUUUAGUUUCAUGCAUCAGUAUCACGGGCCUUUCGCUAACCAUCACAUAUUGUUGUGCUUCCACCAGAACUCUCCAUGCCCUCCUGGCAUAGUCCACUGCUGCUUCCCCUGGUGCGCGAACUGUCAGGAGCAUCGUGAAAGGAAAGGCCGCCUCGCAGAAAGCAGUGCUGUUCCAAUGACCAUUGUCAACCCGCCGCCGCUGCAAGAGAUGAGCAUGGUCGAGAACAACGCUCCCACAUCCGAGAAUGAAGCGUCGAAGGCCGAGCAUGAUGAUGUGGAGGUGAUACCUCUCUAGGAAAGAUAGCAUGAGAACUGAAACUGACAUGGAAUCUGCUAGCCAAUUUAGAGACUACCAUAUAUUGUUAAUAAAUCACUGUCAUCUGGCAGGUACCGUAUGAAACAUUGUUCUGAUCCAGAUUUUAGUUUACUGACCAUUACUACCUAUGAUAGAAUGUUGACCGUGGGCAUGUAAUAUAUGUGUGGAGACCAUUACUACCUAUGAUAGAGUGCUGCCCGUGGGCAUAUAAUAUAUAUGUGGAGACCAUUACUACCUAUGAUAGAAUGUUGCCCGUGGGCAUAUAAUAUAUGUG